Long non-coding RNA from Lutra lutra (Eurasian river otter), 3981 nucleotides. RefSeq lists it as uncharacterized. The record is from RefSeq and is a predicted model, not a curated record. NCBI's taxonomy places the organism in Eukaryota, Metazoa, Chordata, Mammalia, Carnivora, Mustelidae. The transcript has 7 exons.
GACUCCCUUCUCCACCAGCCUUGGCGUCGCCUGUGGCCGCCUGUGCGAACCAGUGCGUGACCCUCAGAGCGGACACGUGCGCCUUAGUCCGGAGACACGCACGCACGAGGAGGGCGCUUUCGGGCCGCCCGAACUAGCAGGUUCUGGGCGGGGCGCCCUCCAGGGUGACCCCGGCCUUGGGGGUCAGCGGGCCUGCGGGCUCGGAGGGGCCCCGGGAUCGCUGCCAUCGCACGGACACCCGUCCACCCCCACCCCCGGAGAGCAGGGGACCCGCCCCUCGCCCGAGGCAGCGUCCUCCCCAGGAGCCCGCCAGGCCCCCUUUGGGCUCUCCUCGGCCAGAGCUUCCAGUCACCGGGGGGAAACGACAGCCACGCAGCGGGCCCAGGCCAAGCAGGAUUCUCUCUGCGCCGGCCCUUGGCCAAGCGCCCAGCCAGUGGACCCCAGGCAGUGGUGGAACCUCUGGGGAGGACGUCCUUCAGGAGCUGGUGCGGGGAAGGAGGGGCCGCCGGACAGCUUCUGAAGGCCGUGGAGGGCCGGAGCCGCCGGUGCGGGGAGGGAAGCCGCAGGGGCAGCGGGGAGCGAGGGCAGGUAGGAACCCGCAAGCACGGACUGGGCCGGUGGCCCUCCUGCAGCAGAAGUCGGUAGCGGUCGUCGGAGAGCCGCAUGCACGCCUGCGGGGAGCUGGAGAAGCUAACAGCCGCGGGGGACGGGGGGCAGCUGCCCACCUGCCUCCCACCACGAGCUGCUGCCACACCUGGGGCUCCAUCCUGACCUUCCAGGUGUAAGAGCGUUGCUGCACCCACCACCCCCACACCACGGCUCACCCCAAACGCCUCUAGUGGCCCAGUUAGGAAAGCCUGUGGGAAAGAGAGAUGGGGUGGCCGCGGGCGGUCAUUGAGGCCAGUCAAGUUGGCACACACAAAACCACCACAGUACCGGGAACUGGUGUCACCGUCAGACGUCCCGGUCACUGGGCAGGCGGCCGAAAGGGGCAGCUAUGAGGGCCACUGAAGAGCUUUACACCAGUUCUAGGGUUAGGUCCACCUUGUGAAAGGUCACUCUCGGCUUCUGCUAGCGCGGUGGCUUGCCAGGUCGUGAGGACCAGCGCUUCCACUCACAAGGGACUGAAGAGUUCCUGAACGGGGGACUCUUCCCUGAAGAAAUCCUUUCUGUACAGGAGCUGAGAGCUCAGCCACUGAGCAAAGCUCCCGACGGACCAAAGACGAAGGGACGAGUCGUUCUUCUGAGAUUGCUACAGAGAGGGAGGGUCUAGUCAGCACCAAGACUUUGGGCUGGGAAGAGGGAACCUGAAAAACACCACGUCCCAGGGAGCCGGACCGCAUUAGGGAGACCUGGGGUGCUCGGUGUGUCUGGCUCCUUGCCAGGACAGAUGUCCGUCCUUUCGAGAGGGGAAGAAAACACCUUCCUCAGUCUCGAGUCAUCUGUGUGUAACGUGCAUCAUACAGAAGGCAACACGUACACAGGAUCAGAUCCCAGGAAGAACAAGGGACGACAGAAGCCGGUCUGCGGGUGGGCCAGAUAACGAGGUUGGCAAGUGUGCACCUUUGAAAUAAAAAUGGAGCCGGCGGAGCCCAGGUCCGUCCUCUCCGUCCUCCUCAAGUGUUGCUGUUGAAGGCAAUCUUCCUUCUCACCUUCCUGCCGUCGCCAUGGGCACCUUGUCCUGGCUCCGAGGCCAGCUGGUGCUCCGGACUGUCGUGCCCCACUUACUGUGGGCAAUUGUAGACUCUUCACUCCUCGGGGACAACAUUCACAGCCACUCGCCCCUUUCUGGGCCCGCACCCCACAGGCCCGACGUCUCCAUCACGCACCCUAUCUUACAUCUCCCUUCCACUCUUGGUAUAGGGAAACGUUGUAGUUCUUAAUAGUUUUCUUUUAAAAAUGAUCUGUUGUGGCUGUGGGUGGAGGGACUCGGGGAAGGGGCUCUGAGUGUGAACAAUGGUGCCUUCUUAUCUGGAGGACGUAAGUGUUUUUCGGACAAAGGACGUAGGAGAAUUUUGCUGUUUCAUUUCUUCCCAUUUAGUUCCUCGGUAUGAAACUGCUGUGAUUACGUCUGAUAGGUUCCCAUUGACUGACAUGCUUCCUCAUCAAAAGAAGAGCAAAAAAUCGGUCUUUUUUAAAAACUGGAAAUCUGCUCUGCAGAAAGUCAGAAACGAAACUGGCGUAUCUAGGUGCGCCUCACAGGUGACACAGCGGCUGAAGUGACUCGGCAGACGACCUCCAGGGCCCUCUCUGGCCGCUGUCUCCGUCUCUGCUCUGCCUGCUGUGCCGUCGUUCUGAAAUGCAGCGGGUGAGACUCAUCCUUCUUCCUUGGAAAGAAGUAGGGUGGCAAAGGGAAGGUGACCUUGGUUUUCGGGUGCUGCCUGCCCCCUGAGAGCGCACUCGGUGCAGGCCGUGGGAUUGUCACAGGAAGGCAAGAGGACUGUGGUGGAAAGGCUGGUUCUCCGGCACCUCAGGAGGGACGUGAGACGACCCCUUGGUGCAUGGUGUGCGGUCCCAUUUCAGGGGUUCUGGUGAGCAGGGACAGCAGCAGCAGGACAGAUGACGCGGUCCUGAUGGAGGGGAUGCCAUGGGUGCAGAAGGGAAGCUUUGCUGUCGGAAUGGGGCUGAAGGCUGUCGUCUGCACAGACUGCACUGUGAUGUUUUAGGGGUUAGGAUGUGGACGUCUUUGGGGCCAUCGUGCCGUCUGCACAGCGGGCACACCUCUUGGAAAGGAGCGGUCCUCCGGCCCACAGCCUGCGGUCAUGAGUGUUGGCGGCGCUGAGGGUGAAGCCCUGGGCUGGGCACACAACAUGCACAAUCAGGAGAAGCGUGGGACAGAAAAAGCCAGCAGGAGGACACCGGCCCGUCCGCAGACCCGAGCCUGGUUUGGAUGCACAGCGUGUGGGUUCAUGGAGAAACCAGGCUCCGAGGAAGAGGGCUGCCCCUCCCCACACUGACAGUGUCCCCCAGUACUUCCCUAGGGCGCUGUGACCCUGUGCACUGGGCUGUUGCAAGGACCGCUGGACACAGGCAGGACCGAUAGUCUGACCUGAAGGUCUGAGGUGUCACCAUGGCCACCCGACUGAGUGAAGUAUGUGGACAUCCGGCACAAAGCCUGGGAAGGACCCCGAGCCCGGGUCAAGGGAAAGCCGUGGAAAGCGUGAACAGUCACUUCCUGCAACAACGCCGGGGAUAAGUCCGCUCAGUAGCUUUUGACAGAAGAAAGCAAAUGGCGGGAGACUGCACACCGCAGGAGCAUCUCUCUACCAGCAGCCCUGGACGGUGAGUGCCUCAGAAGAUGACAGUAUUUGGAGAUGGAGCUGUGAAGAGGGGACUUUCUGGGGCCCUUGAAGCCACACGCUCACCCUCUGAGGGAGGCUCCACCAAUAACGAGCCCCUGGGGCAGGUCCUGAGGUUGAGUUUUAUUUAGUGCCGAUUUCCCCCAAAGAACUGGUGGCCUUUGACCAGGGGAACUAAGCGCCAGCGGGGAGGAAGUCAUCAGACGUUUUGGGACUCUUGGACACCGGCUGUGAAUGGACAUCAAUCCUAGGAGACCCAGAACCUCAACUGGACGCCUCUCUCCAGCCAGUUGUCAUAACUCUGUUUGCUGAGAUCUUGAGCACCUUUCCCUCCCACACGAUCCCACACUGGCCCAUUACAUUGCUGAGGUGAUGCUGCUUGGACCCAGGAACAGGAAGCACGAAUACUCACACUUGUUGACAGUCACAUGUCAGAGGGUGGGAAGUAAAUCUGACCAAAAUCCAAGGGCCUUCUGGGGAAUUUCUAGGGGCUGUGGUAUGGGGCAUGCCAAGAUAUCCCAUCUAAGGUGAAGGUGCAUUGCUCCACCUGCCCCCCCCACAACCAAAAAGAGGCAUGGCACCUAGUUUGGCUUAAUUUUGCGUUAUGAACUUUGACAUUUUCUUAUUAGAUGCAUACACAGAAUUGUGAUGUCUUCUUAAGAAUUGGUCCUUUUGGGGCGCC